AUAUCCCAAGCUAGAUCUUGGGGGAGGAGCCUGUGCAGGCAAAGGAGAAGUCAGCUCCGGAAGCAGCUGUCAAUCAAGUACAAUCCUUCCAGCGCUAGCAUCUUGGGAGAAGACACUGCUUCCCAAGUCUUUACACCUUUGAGAUGGCACCAGAGACAUCACGCGGGAAGAACUUCUUUGAGAUUCUUCAACAGAGACCUCUGGGCCUUUGCUCUUGCUGUUGCUGGCGCCUGGAACACGCACAAUGGGUCCUGGUCAAUUGCCGCGCUUGUGUCUCCUGGGUCGCCACGUAGUGACGCUUCUCCAGAGACGCACUCCCUGAAAUGGGUUGGAUCUGCUGCCACGGCUUCACAAAACAUUCUUGACCGGCUCCUUUUCUAACGCAUCGCAUGUUUGUGGUGACCAG
This 406-nucleotide long non-coding RNA is filed under the name Sus scrofa (pig). Its description in RNAcentral is "lncRNA (ENSSSCG00040076265.1, ENSSSCG00070023361.1)". Lineage: Eukaryota; Metazoa; Chordata; Mammalia; Artiodactyla; Suidae. The record is from RNAcentral.